UAUAAUUUAUCAUUUGAUAAAUAAUACAAUUUAUGGAUGUAAAUUUCCUUACUAAUAUUAUUUUAAGUAAGAGAACAUUUUUGACGCUUGUUACAUGCACGUGUAUAUCGUCAAAAAAUGUAUUCGUCGCAAUGUUACUUUAUCAAGAGCGAAGACCAGAGGAAAAAGAGAAAAGACGAAUAAGAAAUCACCUUUAGCAUAACAUGGGGAGGCUGGGUUCAAUGGAAUGCCGAUCUAGUAAGAGGCGUGGUAUGUGGCCGUCACAUACCAAACAACCGUGCUUUUAUUUUUUGUGCAGAUUCUUUAGGUUAAACCUAAUCAUACUUGCAUUUUUAGCCGAUAAUUAAAGAAAUCACGCUUUCUAACAGAAUAUUAGCACGAAAGCAAAAAUAAUGCGACAGAAAAUAAGAGGAUUAAUUAAAAAUCCAACCGGUUUUGCAAAAAACCUUUAUCAGAUACUGGUUUAAACACAGAACCCUUUCGCGCUACGAAAAGAAAAAAAAAGGAUACAGAGUUUUGUAUAGUGAGUCAUUCGUAGGUGUGUCUUGGAUUAAUCCGCAGCACCUGUGCUAGAAUAUAUUUCUAGAGCUGGAACCUUCACAUGAUAAAAUGAAGGGGUUUCUGAAAAUUUUGCUAGAGUUAACAGAUCAAUGUUCCAAAAGAGUGAACAUGUUGCACCCCACGUUUCUUGAACAGACUAUUUUCGUGAGUAAAGUUGGGGAAGAAUGAAUCGUAAUGAGUAGGGUGCUUAUUGUCUAUCCUGAUUUGUCGCUUUGUUGACCAGAAUGCUAUAACUUCCGGGUAUGUGUGAACAUUACGAUAUGGAUGGUUAAUAUUAAAUUAUAAUAUAUUCAGUAUAUCACAAAGUAGAUUAAAAUAAGGAAUUAUGUGUACAUGACUAAUGUUAUAGCGGCAAAUUUAAUAAGUUAACAGAAAAUAUUACGUCAGCUUCAAACCUUUAUAUUUUCGUUACAUAUACAUAUACAUGUGUGCGUUACAUAUACAUGUGUGCGUGACUUUGUUGCAUUGAGAAAAGUUCCAUCGUAAGUUUUAUAGAACAAUCUAAAAAUACUUCCAAUAUCGAGGUCGCGAAACAAAAGAGAAGAGUUUGAUAGAAAACUUAAAUACGAUAAGAAAUAGAAAUGGUUUAUUAUGUAUAACGUAACGAACAAAUUCUGUUAAUACAUUGAAAGAAGGAUGAAAUACAUAUUAAUGCUUCCAUCAUUGCAUUCGUUAACAUCUUUUUACGAAUACACCUCCGCAUCCUUCGACGGAGGUGGAAGAAAUUUCAGUUUUGCUGUUGUCUGAAACGCACGAAAUGCAAUGUAUGCGAUAGAAAUGAUAACGUGGAAAAAUAUCCAUGAAAUGUUUUAAGUAGAUCAUCACUAGAAUAAAUUAGAAUUUUUAAAAAAUUUAUUGAUUACAUAAAAAAUGAAUGAGCGCUAUAUGAUCUAGUACGGAAGAUGUAUCAAAUAGUCUUAAUUCAUCGUUUAUAUAUUGCAUCAUUACUAUCAAAAAUGAAAUUCGACGUGUUUAUUAUGUAUACGUGUUAAAUAUUUCAUUAGAGUAACAUGUAUAGUAUUGGUGCACAUCCUAGCGUUGAAAUCACCCGAUAAAUUGAGUGAUCGCGAUGCUGUUUAUAGCAUCAGUGAUCGGUACACAUAUUGCUUUAAUGCGGUUCUAACUAGACGAUAUUUUGAUAAUAUUUCAAGAAAAUGAACUUCACUACUUAUUUUUUAAACACAAGUGAAAUGAAAUUCAGUGUAACCUAUCUGUUCAAGGGCACGUAGUACAAUGUAAUAAAAGAAAUAUGUCACCAGAACUUAAUAAUAACUUUAUAUACUAAUAUCUUAUAUAAUGUUUAUUGAGAAUAAACAUCUUUGAUAUUAUUGCCUUUACUCGGCUCAAAAACACAAAAAGUACAUGUGUGCAUUGCAUAUAUAGUGUAUAUUAAGAAAAGAAACUUUUUCCGAAAUUAUAAUAUACUCAAAAAAUAAAUAACAGGCAGUUUUUCAUUUUAUAUACCAGUACUCAUCAUUUUCAACAUUUUACUGGUCUUAAAGAAAACCGAACCUUAUUAAUAUUUAAGAUAAAAAUCCUUUUAUUUUAAUAUGCACGGAUUAAUUCGAAAAACUUGUUUUUACACAGAGUGUCCUUUCUCAUUCAUCGCCUUUCUUUAAAAGCGUUCUUUUCUCAUUCAUACGAAAAUAAUGGACGCUUUUACUGAGGAAGUAAUAAGAGUACAAUUCAAAGUGCCGACAACUUGGGCCAAAUGACGCUUCAGUGUUUGAGACGAGACGCAUGAAAUGUGCACCACUACGACGCGACGGACGGAACGAGAUUCGUGCUCAGUGCAGAACGAUCGGGAACGUGAGCUUUCACUUUCCUCGAGCGGCUUGCACAAGCGAGACACUACCGUGGUCAGGGCGCACGACAUUUGGUACGAAAAACUCGUCGAACCAUGAAGCGUCGGAUAUUCAGACAACGACGAUAC
Molecule: long non-coding RNA, 2494 nt
Organism: Bombus huntii
Lineage: Eukaryota; Metazoa; Arthropoda; Insecta; Hymenoptera; Apidae
Exons: 3
Source: RefSeq, a predicted model, not a curated record